Molecule: long non-coding RNA, 545 nt
Filed under: Nicotiana tabacum (common tobacco)
Lineage: Eukaryota; Viridiplantae; Streptophyta; Magnoliopsida; Solanales; Solanaceae
Description: long non-coding RNA (NTAB_LNC005441)
Source: RNAcentral
CACCACCAACUUACUAUAAGCAAACACCUAACUACGCUUCACCUCCACCACCUUUGAAGUACGAGAAAUCUGUCACCUAUGAUUCACCUCCACCACCUGUGAAGUACGAGCAAGCACCCACCUAUGCUUCACCUCCACCACCUGUGAAGUACGAGCAAGCACCCACCUAUGCUUCACCUCCACCACCUGUGAAGUACGAGCAAACACCCACUUACGCUUCACCUCCACCACCUGUGAAGUACGAGCAAACACCCACCUAUGCUUCACCUUCCCCACCCACGUACUAUAAGCAAACACCCACCUAUGCUUCACCUCUACCACCUGUGAAGUACGAGCAGUUAGUCACCUAUGCUUCACCUCCACCACCUGUGAAGUACGAGUAGUCAGUCACCUAUGCUUCACCUCCACCGCCGUCAACAUCUCCCCCACCAACCUACUACUAAUAUUCAACCCUUCUCUUCAAUCAUUUUCCAUGUCUCCAUGACUUAUUCCUUUCAUCCUCCUUCCCACCAUAAUUUUAUGUAUGUUCCCCAAAAUGGUCGACU